CUCACAACGCCUUGCUUAACCACACCCCCACGGGAGACAGCAGUAACAAAAAUUAAGCCAUAAACGAAAGUUUGACUAAGCCAUAUUGACCAGGGUUGGUAAAUCUCGUGCCAGCCACCGCGGUCAUACGAUUGACCCAAGCUAACAGGAGUACGGCGUAAAGCGUGUUAAAGCAUCAUACUAAAUAGAGUUAAAUUUUAAUUAAACUGUAAAAAGCCAUAAUUAUAACAAAAAUAAAUGACGAAAGUAACCCUACAAUAGCUGAUACACCAUAGCUAAGACCCAAACUGGGAUUAGAUACCCCACUAUGCUUAGCCCUAAACACAAAUAAUUAUAAAAACAAAAUUAUUCGCCAGAGUACUACCGGCAACAGCCCGAAACUCAAAGGACUUGGCGGUGCUUUAUACCCUUCUAGAGGAGCCUGUUCUAUAAUCGAUAAACCCCGAUAAACCUCACCAAUCCUUGCUAAUACAGUCUAUAUACCGCCAUCUUCAGCAAACCCUAAAAAAGGGACAAAAGUAAGCUCAAUAAUAACACAUAAAGACGUUAGGUCAAGGUGUAACCUAUGGAGUGGGAAGAAAUGGGCUACAUUUUCUACCCAAGAAAAUUUAAUACGAAAGCCAUUAUGAAAUUAAUAGCCAAAGGAGGAUUUAGCAGUAAACUAAGAAUAGAGUGCUUAGUUGAAUCAGGCCAUGAAGCACGCACACACCGCCCGU
This 716-nucleotide ribosomal RNA is filed under the name Ovis aries (sheep). RNAcentral describes it as "partial 12S ribosomal RNA". It matches the Rfam family "Bacterial small subunit ribosomal RNA", at positions 319 to 1397 of the family's 1533-position model. Lineage: Eukaryota; Metazoa; Chordata; Mammalia; Artiodactyla; Bovidae. The record is from RNAcentral.